AUGGCUGCCGGCGCGCCGCUGGAGCCGGAGCUCGAGCCCCCUACGACGCGCAUCCGCAUCUGUGCCAUCCUAGAAGCCGGUGACGCGUUCGCCGGCCAACGCGUGGUCGUCGGUGGCUGGGUCAGGGCCGGGCGCGAGCAGGGCGGCGGCAGAUUUGCGUUCCUCGAUGUAAACGACGGCUCCUGCCUGGGCAACCUCCGGGUCAAGGUCGACGCUGGCACCACCGCGCCCCGCCCACUCGCGCGGCUCACAGCCACUGGUACGUCCGUGCUCGUCGAGGGAGAGCUCCAGGCGGACCCAAGGGCCAAGCACGGCGUCGAGCUGAGCGUGGAGACGCUGAUCGAGGUCGGCGAGGUCGACGCCGCCGCCUACCCGCUGCCCAAGACCAAGCCAGGCCACCCGCUCGACCCCGCCUACCUCAGGGAUUUUCUCCACCUCCGCGCACGCACCAACUUGAUAGGUGCGGUGCUUAGGAUAAGGAGUGAACUCUCCUCAGCGACCGAUGCAUACUUCCGGGACAAUGGCUUCCAGCGUGUGCACACGCCCAUAAUAACCACGAGCGACUGCGAGGGUGCUGGCGAGAUGUUCCAGGUCACCACCUUGUUCAGCCAGGCCGAGAAGCUGGACAAGGAGCUCAAGGAGAACCCUGCUGCAUCUCAAGUUGACAUUGAUGCCGCCAAAAUCGUUGUCAAAGAGAAGGGGGACAUUGUCGCGCAGCUCAAAUCUGCACAAGCCACCAAGGAAAAGAUCGCUGCGGCCGUGUCGGAGCUCAAGAAGGCAAAAGAGAGCGUGUCGAGAAUGGAGGAGAGGUCCAGGCUGACAUAUGGGAUCCCACGCAGUGAAGAUGGGAGCAUUGCCUUUGUGAACGAUUUUUUCAAGUGUCCUUCGUACCUGACGGUGUCUGGGCAGCUUCAACUGGAGACCUUGGCUUGUGGUCUCACCGACGUGUAUACCUUUGGGCCGACAUUCCGGGCCGAAAACUCCCACACGUCGAGGCAUCUGGCCGAGUUCUGGAUGGUGGAGGCAGAAAUGGCAUUUGCAAACUUGCAGGAUGAUAUGAACCGUGCAGAAAGCUACGUGCAAUACCUUUGCAAAUGGCUACUCGAGCAUUGCCGAGCAGAGAUGGAAUUCAUGGUCAAGCAUCAUGAUGAGGCCGCAAUCGAGCGCCUGGAGCUUGUUUCGUCGACGCCUUUGGAACGUAUUUCGUAUACAAAGGCCGUUGAGAUGCUCGAAGAUGCAGAUAAAAUUUUUGAGAACAAAGUUGAGUGGGGAAUUGAUUUAGCAUCCGAGCAUGAGAGGUAUUUGACUGAGGUGGUGUUUAAGAAGCCACUAAUUGUUUUUAACUAUCCAAAAGGAAUAAAGGCCUUUUAUAUGAGGCUCAAUAAUGACCAAAAGACUGUUGCUGCUAUGGAUGUUCUUGUUCCCAAGGUUGGUGAAUUAAUCGGCGGAAGCCAGAGGGAGGAGCGUCUGGAUAUUCUUGAACAAAGGAUACUCGAUGCCGGUCUGGACUUGGAGCAGUAUGCCAAGUACCUGGACCUGCGGUGCUUUGGAUCCGUAAAGCACAGCGGGUUCGGCCUAGGUUUGGAGAGGAUGGUCCUUUUCGCCACCGGUCUUGACAACAUUAGAGAUGUUAUUCCCUUCCCGAGGUACCCUGGGAGGGCCGAUCUCUGA
This 1671-nucleotide ribosomal RNA is filed under the name Triticum aestivum (bread wheat). RNAcentral's name for it is "partial small subunit ribosomal RNA". The record is from RNAcentral. Lineage: Eukaryota; Viridiplantae; Streptophyta; Magnoliopsida; Poales; Poaceae.